RNAcentral lists this non-coding RNA (29 nucleotides) under Mus musculus (house mouse). Lineage: Eukaryota; Metazoa; Chordata; Mammalia; Rodentia; Muridae. The record is from RNAcentral.
UGACAAUGACUACUACAACAGAAACCAGU